CGCAUCAUGCUUUGGCGCCCUUGAUUCCGAGGCAGCUCCGCACACUCGGAACAUCGAUUUACACAUUAUUUUGUUGAAAAGUAUAUUCCAAACAGUCUCAGUUUUGGUAUAUGAGCAUGGCUGAGCAAGAGAUUAGGACUCGGAACUCAUUUCCUCCUCUUUGGAAAGAGGUUGCUGGCGUCUGCAACACUGCAUUUCAAAAGUUCAAAAAGCGUCCGUCCCAAAACCUAUGCAAGGACUACAACAAACUCAUUAGCCAGAUAUGCGAAGCGCAUGGGCUGGUUUACAACUUGACUGCAUACCAGUGCUCAAACUAUCCUGCCCUUGUUCGAGGUAGCAACUCUACACCUGUUGUUGGCGAAACAGUGGAAAGCACCCAAGUGCUUGUUGUUUACUACCUUCUGCGUGAAUUACUGAAAAAGCAAGUCAACAACGUAAAGUCGACGAUACAGAAGGAUUCCAUAUUAUCAUACUUGGACGCAUAUGAAAAGUACACAGCAGGGGGGAAUGUUGUGAAGUCGAUUUUCACGUAUCUUCACUGGACCUGGCAAAAGAGAGGCCUGCCAGCUGAGCACAUUAUUCAGCCUACGGAAAUUGUUGUCGGUCACUUGUGGAUGGAUGUCAUUUUGACUUCCGAGUUGAAGGAGUCGUUCAGAGCGAAGGUGAACGAAAUUGUCUGCCGUGUCCGAUCAGGCGGCCCGACCAGCGUAGGCGAAAUGGAGAGCGUCAAGCGCUUUUCUCUCAAUCUUGGAUGCUCUACUGACGUCCGGCUGACCCUGUAUUCCUCCGUGGUCGAAGAAACGUAUCUGAAAAGUCUUGCUUCCUUCUAUUGCGCGAAAAGGCCGGGCUUCAAAGCGCUUGGUGUUGUUGAGUACAUCAAUCAAUGCGUCAAGGCCGUGAAAAAGGAGGACGUAUUAGCACGCUGCUUCCUGAUCCGAUCCUCGUACGAGCAAGUGAGCGAAUCUGUUUUGCGAAUUCUCAUUCACGAAGAGAAAAACUAUCUUUUGCCUUUCUGCAAAAAGUGCAUUGAUCCAUCUGAUGGUAACGACCCGUUUUCCAGCAAGAAAUCAUUGUCGGCUCUCUACGAUCUACUCGGCGGUGGCGAAGAGGAGUCGUGGAUGGAGGAUUUGCUGACAGAAACGGUUUCGGAGUACGCUGAUCGGGAGCUCAAGAAGACAAGUGAUUCAUCUGAGGCAUCGUCCAUUUUGCGAAUUUUGAAGAAGGCUCAGCAAACAUUUGAGAUGACGAUUUCCGGUAUUUUUGGUCACCAACCACGUCUCAUUCGGGCUGUUUACGACGGAAUUCAGGCCAAUUUGGCAGCACUCGAAAAGCCAACCGCUACUGAGGAUAAUGCAGCGAAAAUUGCGAAGCGUCUCGCCAAAUACGCAGCUGAAGAAAUUAAGAGCAUGCCCAUUGAUGAACUGCGUCGGACGAACAACUGGAUCGCCGUCAUUUACCGUCUCUGCACUAGGCAGGAUGUAUUUCACCUGUCUUACACUCGGUUUUUGCAAGAGCGCCUCUUGACAAAUAUUUUUGGCACUGGAAAGCAAAGCGAAAUCGCGGUGCGUGAGGAGAGUAUGCUGUCGAGUCUUCUCAUCAAGGACAAGAACUUUGCCUUCAUUUUCAAUUGCAUGCGCAUGCUUAACGACGCCCGCCGAAACGACUCGAAAAGAGCAGAACGAGUGCAGGAGCUGCUGGUGAAGCCAUACAUAUUAACGGCGUUCGCGUGGGGAGAGUCGCGCCGCUCUUCGGAUAUGGGCCGCAGUUCUGUUCCCUUUGAAUUGCAGUCUGUCAUCUCUCACGACAUCGACGCCUACUCUGCGCUGCAAAACGGGCGCAAGCUGCUUUUUUCACCGGAGCACUCUGGCGCUCGUGUGAGAAUGAGCGUUUCAAACAAAGCCGCGUCGUUUUCGCUCCUGGUUUCACUCCUGCAGAUGCGCUACCUGCUCGUAAUGAACAAAAUGAGCGAAUGGUCCGCUGACGAGCUGUGUUCUCAAACCCGCACAAGUCUAGAGGAGUGCAAACGGGCGUUGACGCCUUUUGUACAAACUGGGCUGCUGCAGGAAACAGCACAACAUGUGUUUAAUCUGGAUCCAAACAUUUUAGCGUUACAGAGUGGCGAGGAGAAAAUGUACGACCUCCGCUACAUAGAGCUGGGGUCUCAACAGAGUAAUCCGGAGAAGAACAGCUUUUUUCUGCGCGGAGAAAAAUCUCAUGUUUUAUCGAUUGAAGGUGCUGUUAUGCGGCUGCUGAAAGAACUAGGCCCACUCUCACUGGAUGUCAUAAUUAGUAAAGUUUCUGCUUCAUUGGGUAAGCUAUCGGUGCAGCGAAGGGACAUUAAGAAGGUACUUGAGAAACUUGUUGAGCGCGAAUACGUGGAGCGUAGCGAGGACAACUGUUUUUCAUUUAUUCCUUAAGCGUAUCGUCAACACCAUGGCUUUUACUUUCCUGUCUUUUGCACUUUUUACUCUUGUUUUUGACAAUUGCUUUCCCUUUUUUUUUUUACCACGGCGAUCAGCAAAACAAAGAAAAAGUUCGUGGAUCGCGGACUGUUUCUUGUUCGACUAUGAACGAUUUGCGUGCACCUAGCACCAAAUCCCAUCACAGGGUAGAACAUCCUCGCCAAAGCAAAGCGUGAAUUGUAGAAACUCUUUCGUUCGUACGUACUUCAAGACCAUGAUGAUGGACGACACCUCAGCGUGGUAUCUGGGCCCAGUGCCCACUCUCUCUGUGGGGAA
RNAcentral lists this unclassified non-coding RNA (2738 nucleotides) under Leishmania donovani. RNAcentral's name for it is "gene:LdHU3.28.3070(CDS-product:Cullin_family/Cull in_protein_neddylation_domain_containing_protein_putative)". Lineage: Eukaryota; Euglenozoa; Kinetoplastea; Trypanosomatida; Trypanosomatidae. The record is from RNAcentral.